This 248-nucleotide long non-coding RNA is filed under the name Nicotiana benthamiana. Its description in RNAcentral is "long non-coding RNA (NBEN_LNC001241)". The record is from RNAcentral. Lineage: Eukaryota; Viridiplantae; Streptophyta; Magnoliopsida; Solanales; Solanaceae.
AGAAACUGUACACGAACUACAAGUAGAGCCAAACUUACCUCUGCAAUGUAUAAACCCAGCUACUAACCAUGUCAUCAAGAUAAGCCACUUGCGAUAAAAGACGACCAAAUUGAUACCUAUCCCUCCCAUUCUGAACUUUAUAAUUGAUCUGUUCAACCAGAAGCUCGAGAACUUUUCGAACCUCCGAGAAAACUUCUCUAACGGAUGAGUAUUUGCCUCUGUAUGCCAACAAUCCAAUAGCUAUCAGG